This 449-nucleotide ribosomal RNA is filed under the name uncultured bacterium. Its description in RNAcentral is "partial 16S ribosomal RNA". It matches the Rfam family "Bacterial small subunit ribosomal RNA", at positions 29 to 523 of the family's 1533-position model. The record is from RNAcentral.
AACGAACGCUGGCGGCAGGCCUAAUACAUGCAAGUCGAACGAUAACUUCGGGUCCAGUGGCGCACGUAUGCGUAAGUCGUGGUAAGCUACCCGUUGGUUAGGUACAACAGUUGGAAACGACUGCCAAUGACGGACGAAGACGACAUUCAAAAGAUUUAUCGCCAGAGGCUGAGCCCGCGUAGGACUAGCUAGUUAGUGUGGUAAAGUCGCACCCAGUCGACAGUCCUUAGCUGGCCUGAGCGCAUGAUCGGCGACACUGGGACUGAGACAAGGCCCAGACUCCGACGGGUGGCAGCAGGGGGGAAGAUUGGACAAUGCGCGAAAGCCGCAUCAAGCAAUGCCGCGUGAGUGAUGAAGGCCUUAGGGUUGUAAAGCUCUAUUCACCGGGAUGAAAAUGACAGUACCGGGAGAAUAAGCUCCGGCUAACUCCGUGCCAGCCGCCGCCGUAA